GUCCUUUAGAGUAUAAUUAAAGGUUUAACCUGCCCACUGAAAAAUUUAAAUGGCCGCAGUAAAUUGACUGUGCAAAGGUAGCAUAAUCAAUAGUUUUUUAAUUAAAAGCUUGUAUGAAUGGUUGGACGAGAUAAAAUCUGUCUUUAUAUAAUAUAUAGAAUUUAAUUUUUAAGUUAAAAAGCUUAAAUUAAUUUAAAAGACGAGAAGACCCUAUAGAUCUUAAUAAUUAUUUAUUUAAAAAUAUAUAGGAAUAAUAUUUAUUAUAACUAUUUAAUUAUUUUGUUGGGGUAAUAGAAAGAUUUAAUAAAUUCUUUUUUAAUUAAAACAGUAAUUUUUGAAUAGUUGAUCCAUUAUUAAUGAUUAAAAGAUUAAGUUACCUUAGGGAUAACAGCGUAAUUUUUUUAAAGAGUUCAUAUCGAUAAAAAAGUUUGCGACCUCGAUGUUGGAUUAAAAAUUAUUCUAGGUGUAGUAGUUUAGAGUUUUGGUCUGUUCGACCAUUAAAUUUUU
This 507-nucleotide ribosomal RNA is filed under the name Graptodytes aequalis. RNAcentral's name for it is "partial 16S ribosomal RNA". The stretch from base 384 to 507 matches the Rfam family "Bacterial large subunit ribosomal RNA", at positions 2473 to 2597 of the family's 2925-position model. The record is from RNAcentral. Lineage: Eukaryota; Metazoa; Arthropoda; Insecta; Coleoptera; Dytiscidae.